GACGAACGCUGGCGGCGUGCUUAACACAUGCAAGUCGAACGGUGAAAGCGGAGCUUGCUCCGCUGGAUCAGUGGCGAACGGGUGUGUAACACGUGGGCAACCUGCCCCUCACUUCGGAAUAACCCCGGGAAACCGGGGCUAAUACCGGAUAUGACCUCCUUGGGCAUCCUUGGAGGUGGGAAUGUUUUCGGUGAGGGAUGGGCCCGCGGCCUAUCAGCUUGUUGGUGAGGUAGUGGCUCACCAAGGCGACGACGGGUAGCCGGCCUGAGAGGGCGAACGGCCACACUGGGACUGAGACACGGCCCAGACUCCUACGGGAGGCAGCAGUGGGGAAUAUUGCGCAAUGGGCGAAAGCCUGACGCAGCAACGCCGCGUGCGGGAUGACGGCCUUCGGGUUGUAAACCGCUUUCAGCAGGGAAGAAGCCGCAAGGUGACGGUACCUGCAGAAGAAGCACCGGCUAACUACGUGCCAGCCGCCGCCGUAA
This 485-nucleotide ribosomal RNA is filed under the name uncultured bacterium. RNAcentral describes it as "partial 16S ribosomal RNA". It matches the Rfam family "Bacterial small subunit ribosomal RNA", at positions 28 to 523 of the family's 1533-position model. The record is from RNAcentral.